GACGAACGCUGGCGGCGUGCUUAACACAUGCAAGUCGAACGGAAAGGCCCUGCUUUUGUGGGGUGCUCGAGUGGCGAACGGGUGAGUAACACGUGAGUAACCUGCCCUUGACUUUGGGAUAACUUCAGGAAACUGGGGCUAAUACCGGAUAGGAGCUCCUGCUGCAUGGUGGGGGUUGGAAAGUUUCGGCGGUUGGGGAUGGACUCGCGGCUUAUCAGCUUGUUGGUGGGGUAGUGGCUUACCAAGGCUUUGACGGGUAGCCGGCCUGAGAGGGUGACCGGCCAAAUGGGGACGGGGAUACGGCCCAGACUCCUACGGGGGGCAGCGGGGGGGAAUAUUGCACAAGGGGCGGAAGCCGGAUGCAGCAACGCCGCGGGGGGGAUGACGGCCUUCGGGUUGUAAACCGCUUUCGCCUGUGACGAAGCGGGGGUGACGGUAAUGGGAAAAGAAGCACCGGCUAACUACGU
Molecule: ribosomal RNA, 467 nt
Filed under: uncultured bacterium
Lineage: Bacteria
Description: partial 16S ribosomal RNA
Rfam family: Bacterial small subunit ribosomal RNA
Source: RNAcentral